UCUUUCGGCCAAACCACGCCCAAACGCGCCCGAUCUCAUCUAAUAUCAGAAGCUAAGCUUGGUCGGGCCUGGUUAGUACUUGGAUGGGAGAGAUGAUUGGAGGUUUUGAGCAGUGGCUGAGAGUU
Molecule: ribosomal RNA, 125 nt
Filed under: Echinops telfairi (small Madagascar hedgehog)
Lineage: Eukaryota; Metazoa; Chordata; Mammalia; Afrosoricida; Tenrecidae
Source: RNAcentral